This 370-nucleotide ribosomal RNA is filed under the name uncultured bacterium. Its description in RNAcentral is "bacterial SSU rRNA". It matches the Rfam family "Bacterial small subunit ribosomal RNA", at positions 434 to 793 of the family's 1533-position model. The record is from RNAcentral.
CAGCAGUGAGGAAGGUGGAUAUGUUAAUACGCAUAUUCAUUUUGACGUUAGCUGCAGAAGAAGCACCGGCUAACUCCCGUGCCAGCAGCCGCGGUAAUACGGAGGGUGCGAGCGUUAAUCGGAAUUACUGGGCGUAAAGCGCAUGCAGGUGGUUUUGUUAAGUCAGAUGUGAAAAGCCCGGGGCUCAACCUCGGAAUUGCAUUUGAAAACUGGCAAACUAGAGUACUGUAGAGGGGGUAGAAUUUCAGGUGUAGCGGUGAAAAUGCGUAGAGAUCUGAAGGAAUACCGGUGGCGAAGGCGGCCCCCUGGACAGAUACUGACACUCAGAUGCGAAAGCGUGGGGAGCAAACAGGAUUAGAUACCCUGGUAG